GCCCAAAUUUCGUAAGGAAGUUAUUUGCAAGGUUUAAAGAGGUAAUUUUCACAUCUUCAUUAGCCUUAAGUGCUUGAGCAAUAGCAAAAGCCCCAUCAUCUCUUAUUUCAUUGAAUCCUAAGUCGAGCUCAUUUAGAACUUCAUUCACCACUUUCAAGCUACGAGCCAAGCAUCUUGCACCUUCAUCUCUAAGUCCAUUUCCUCGCAAGUCUAGAAU
RNAcentral lists this unclassified non-coding RNA (217 nucleotides) under Hevea brasiliensis (rubber tree). Lineage: Eukaryota; Viridiplantae; Streptophyta; Magnoliopsida; Malpighiales; Euphorbiaceae. The record is from RNAcentral.